This 143-nucleotide unclassified non-coding RNA is filed under the name fungal sp. RNAcentral's name for it is "partial internal transcribed spacer region". The stretch from base 1 to 46 matches the Rfam family "Eukaryotic small subunit ribosomal RNA", at positions 1786 to 1831 of the family's 1831-position model. The record is from RNAcentral. Lineage: Eukaryota; Fungi.
AAGUCGUAACAAGGUUUCCGUAGGUGAACCUGCGGAAGGAUCAUUGAGGGAGAGAGGGGAGAGAUGUUGGAAUGAAAUAUAGAUAUCACGUGACAAAUUAUUCUUAAUCAAAAUGACUAGCCACCUGGGAUCUCUGGGCUCUU